GUUUUACUAUGUGUGGAUCUCUCAAUUUUUUUUCUGAUUGAGGUAGCUUGCUAAAUACUGUUUAUUGUGUAUAAUCCUAAUAUAAAAAACAAACAUUUGUGAAAUUAUGGUCAUAUGUAGGAGAUUAGCAUCAAAAUUAUUUAAAAUGCUAUUCUGCACUUGGGAUAAGGACAUAUUGCUUACAAAAUGUACUAGAAUACUUCUCCUAAACUCACUACUUUUUUUUAGUGUUUUAUUAUGUUUGUUUACAUUGUAUAAACAGCAGUUUAAAUCCAAAGGUGGGGGAUUGCUCUCUAAUGCAAUAAUGACCUUUGGAUAUUUCUGAUCAAUUCUGUCCAAUGUCAUUGAUCUAAUGUUUUUUAUUACUCUGAAACAAUGAUUUCAGUAAUUAUUGUAUGCUGUCGAACUUCCAUUCCAUUAAUCAUAAUGAAAUUGUCAUGUUUUAUUAUUUUGUAUUCAUGUCUUAAACUUGCUAUUUGAAUAACAAUUAUUAAUAUUUGACAUGAAAUGAUAUGGUUUAUUUUUGAUCAACACAAUAUUUGUUUUAGCCUUCUAAUUAGAUAAUGAAAAAGUUUUUUGGAGAUAGAUUUUGAAAUUUACAAGGUUUGGCAAUUAAGUUU
Molecule: long non-coding RNA, 620 nt
Filed under: Androctonus crassicauda
Lineage: Eukaryota; Metazoa; Arthropoda; Arachnida; Scorpiones; Buthidae
Source: RNAcentral